AUACGGAGGAUCCAAGCGUUGUCCGGAUUUAUUGGGUUUAAAGGGUGCGUAGGCGGACUAAUAAGUCAGAGGUGAAAGUUUGCAGCUUAACUGUAAAAUUGCCUUUGAAACUGUCAGUCUUGAGUAUAGUUGAGGUGGGCGGAAUGUGUCAUGUAGCGGUGAAAUGCUUAGAUAUGAUACAGAACACCGAUUGCGAAGGCAGCUCACUAAACUAUAACUGACGCUGAGGCACGAAAGCGUGGGGAGCGAACAGGAUUAGAAACCCUAGUAGUCC
This 274-nucleotide ribosomal RNA is filed under the name uncultured bacterium. Its description in RNAcentral is "partial 16S ribosomal RNA". It matches the Rfam family "Bacterial small subunit ribosomal RNA", at positions 523 to 796 of the family's 1533-position model. The record is from RNAcentral.